UAUCGGCAGGUUGGGGGAGGGGACGAGAACGAAGCAGGGUCAAUAGCUCAGAAUGACAGCUAUACCAGUUUAACUCCAGACAUCACGCCCGCUACAUCUCACCUCUCCAGUCACCACGCCACUACGCCACCACCGACCCCUCGAGUCUACGCAGCCCGGUGUCCGUCUGUGUCUUGUCGUCGGGCGUGACGUGCAGCAAAGGCGGUAACAGCAACGGGAAGUUUUAUCUACGUGAUGGAGGUUUUUCGUGCGGCGAGGUGACGUGCCGCUGCUGUGAGAUUAACGGACCACCCCAUUCCACAGCCACAGCACAGCACAGCACAGCGGAGAGGUUGGGGUCACCACGCCACCACCGACCCCGAGUUGGUGAUACAAAGGCCGCCCCACAGCCGCUACUGCUACUCGGAGGGUUUCUGCCUUGCAUCGGGCCUUCACUGCCGGCCUGCUAACACGUGCCGCCGUCGCCGCUACUGACAGGAAUUUCGCCUCGCAGCGGCCUGGCAAACACCUGCUACAUUACCGCUGCUGCUGCCGUCCAGUGAAAGAUUCAUCUCGGACAUCCUGCCAUUCAACGCCUGCUGCCACCACCACCACCUCCUUAUGGUGCUGUCACUGUACUGAAGCUGUUGUCAUGAUUGAAUAAUAAAUUGUGAAGAAAUCUU
This 662-nucleotide unclassified non-coding RNA is filed under the name Portunus trituberculatus (swimming crab). RNAcentral's name for it is "uncharacterized LOC123510944, transcript variant X1". The record is from RNAcentral. Lineage: Eukaryota; Metazoa; Arthropoda; Malacostraca; Decapoda; Portunidae.